This 466-nucleotide ribosomal RNA is filed under the name uncultured bacterium. Its description in RNAcentral is "partial 16S ribosomal RNA". It matches the Rfam family "Bacterial small subunit ribosomal RNA", at positions 28 to 507 of the family's 1533-position model. The record is from RNAcentral.
GACGAACGCUGGCGGCGUGCUUAACACAUGCAAGUCGAACGGAAAGGCCCUGCUUGCUGGGUGCUCUAGUGGCGAACGGGUGAGUAACACGUGUGUGAUCUGCCCCUUACUUUGGGAUAAGCCUGGGAAACUGGGUCUAAUACUGGAUAGGACCAUGCUGUAGGUGGUGUGGGGGAAAGAUUUUUUUCGGUGUUGGAUGGGCUCGCGGCCUAUCAGCUUGUUGGUGUGGUAGUGGCCUACCAAGGCGUCGACGGGUAGCCGGCCUGGGAGGGUGGGCGACCAUGCGGCGGCGGAGAGGCGGCGCAGACUACGACGGGAAGCAGUGGGGGGGAAUAUUGAACAAGGGGAGGAAGGAUGAAGCGACGACGCGUCGGGGGGGAUGACGUCCGGCUGGUAGAAACCCUCUUGCGAUGACGAAGAAGCGGUAGUGACGGUAGUGGUAGAAGAAGCACCGGCUAACUACGUG